Molecule: long non-coding RNA, 338 nt
Organism: Pollicipes pollicipes
Lineage: Eukaryota; Metazoa; Arthropoda; Thecostraca; Pollicipedomorpha; Pollicipedidae
Exons: 3
Source: RefSeq, a predicted model, not a curated record
CCACCAGCCGUUUAACGUCGAGGUCAACGGCUCCAGCUCGGCCGCCUGCCCCUAUGACUACCUGGAGGUACGUGACGGCCUGAGUCCGGCGGCACCGCUGGUGGACCGCUACUGCGGUACACAGCUGCCGCCGGCCAUCACUGCCUCCUCCAGCCGGCUGUACGUGCGCUUCUACUCAGACAGGGAGAUCCAUCGUUCCGGAUUCACAGCCACCGUCACGAACGUCGACUCUGUGUGCGGCCGGACCACCCUGGCGGCUACCGAGACGGUGCAGAUCCUUCAGAGCCCCGGCCACCCCGCCCAGUACCCGGCCAACCUACUCUGCGUCUGGACCAUCG